This 445-nucleotide ribosomal RNA is filed under the name uncultured Caulobacter sp. RNAcentral's name for it is "bacterial SSU rRNA". It matches the Rfam family "Bacterial small subunit ribosomal RNA", at positions 335 to 797 of the family's 1533-position model. The record is from RNAcentral. Lineage: Bacteria; Pseudomonadati; Pseudomonadota; Alphaproteobacteria; Caulobacterales; Caulobacteraceae.
UUGCCUACGGGAGGCAGCAGUGGGGAAUCUUGCGCAAUGGGCGAAAGCCUGACGCAGCCAUGCCGCGUGAAUGAUGAAGGUCUUAGGAUUGUAAAAUUCUUUCACCGGGGACGAUAAUGACGGUACCCGGAGAAGAAGCCACGGCUAACUUCGUGCCAGCAGCCGCGGUAAUACGAAGGGGGCUAGCGUUGCUCGGAAUUACUGGGCGUAAAGGGAGCGUAGGCGGACUGUUUAGUCAGAGGUGAAAGCCCAGGGCUCAACCUUGGAAUUGCCUUUGAUACUGGCAGUCUUGAGUACGGAAGAGGUAUGUGGAACUCCGAGUGUAGAGGUGAAAUUCGUAGAUAUUCGGAAGAACACCAGUGGCGAAGGCGACAUACUGGUCCGUUACUGACGCUGAGGCUCGAAAGCGUGGGGAGCAAACAGGAUUAGAUACCCGAGUAGUCCU